Molecule: ribosomal RNA, 495 nt
Filed under: Cyphocharax gilbert
Lineage: Eukaryota; Metazoa; Chordata; Actinopteri; Characiformes; Curimatidae
Description: partial 16S ribosomal RNA
Rfam family: Bacterial large subunit ribosomal RNA
Source: RNAcentral
AACAUCGCCUCCUGCAAAAAUCAAUGUAUAGGAGGUCCUGCCUGCCCAGUGACAACUUGUUAAACGGCCGCGGUAUUUUGACCGUGCUAAGGUAGCGCAAUCACUUGUCUUUUAAAUGAAGACCUGUAUGAAUGGUGGAACGAGGGCUUAACUGUCUCCCUUCUCCUGUCAAUGAAAUUGAUCUGCCCGUGCAGAAGCGGGCAUAUUUAUACAAGACGAGAAGACCCUUUGGAGCUUAUUGGGGCGACCGCGGGGGAAAACAAAGCCCCCACGUAAAACUAAGAGAGACAUCUCUAAGCCACAGAACAUCUGACCAAAAGAUCCGGCCCACAAGCCGAUCAACGAACCAAGUUACCCUAGGGAUAACAGCGCAAUCCCCUCCAAGAGUUCAUAUCGACGAGAGGGUUUACGACCUCGAUGUUGGAUCAGGACAUCCUAAUGGUGCAGCCGCUAUUAAGGGUUCGUUUGUUCAACGAUUAAAGUCCUACGUGAUCU